CCUACGGGGUGCAGCAGUGAGGAAUAUUGGUCAAUGGACGAGAGUCUGAACCAGCCAAGUAGCGUGAAGGAUGACUGCCCUAUGGGUUGUAAACUUCUUUUAUAUGGGAAUAAAAUGUUCCACGUGUGGGAUUUUGUAUGUACCAUAUGAAUAAGGAUCGGCUAACUCCGUGCCAGCAGCCGCGGUAAUACGGAGGAUCCGAGCGUUAUCCGGAUUUAUUGGGUUUAAAGGGAGCGUAGGUGGAUUGUUAAGUCAGUUGUGAAAGUUUGCGGCUCAACCGUAAAAUUGCAGUUGAAACUGGCAGUCUGGAGUACAGUAGAGGUAGGCGGAAUGCGUGGUGUAGCGGUGAAAUGCUUAGAUAUCACGAAGAACUCCGAUUGCGAAGGCAGCUCACUGGACUGCAACUGACGCUGAGGCUCGAAAGUGUGGGUAUCAAACAGGAUUAGAUACCCCUGUAGUC
This 460-nucleotide ribosomal RNA is filed under the name uncultured bacterium. RNAcentral describes it as "partial 16S ribosomal RNA". It matches the Rfam family "Bacterial small subunit ribosomal RNA", at positions 338 to 795 of the family's 1533-position model. The record is from RNAcentral.